Molecule: ribosomal RNA, 309 nt
Filed under: Partula taeniata
Lineage: Eukaryota; Metazoa; Mollusca; Gastropoda; Stylommatophora; Partulidae
Description: partial 16S ribosomal RNA
Source: RNAcentral
GGGAAAUAACUGUUUCAGUGAAACUAAAAAGAAAUUCCUUAAUAGGUGAAAAUUCCUUUGAUAUAUAUAAUAGACGAGAAGACCCUAAGAAUUAUACAUUAAAAUUGUAAAUUUAUGAUAAAUUUUUGUUGGGGCAACAGAUUUGGUAAAAUCAAUAAUUUAAAGGUUUGCACAUUAAGUAUAUUUAAUAAGAAUUUAAUUACCUUAGGGAUAACAGCAUUAUUAAUGUAUUAGAUUGUGACCUCGAUGUUGGACUAGGGACUUUUAAAGUAAGCCAUUUUAAAAGAUUGUUCUGUUCGAACAUAAAAC